GGUUCGAAAUAACUGAUUUGUUAAUAUGAAGGAUCUGACUGUGAAGAGGAAGGGAGGUUGUUAGUGGUAAAUCGGUUACAAACUCUAAACAGCCGAGUUGCAGAGCAAAACUCGGAAGAAAGAGAAAAAAAGUUCCCUGUGAUAGUUAUUGGAUUUGAAGCCGGGGGUAGUGGGGUUGUCAACUGUUUUCAUAUAUACAACUAUUUUUAUCAUUUCUCAUUUCUUUCUUCGCUGUUGCUCACAAAACCUCAGAAGUUUAGGGUUGUUCAAAAGGAUUUUACUUCAUCUUAUCGAUCUGCAUACUUCUUGAUUUAAGUUUGGACUAUUAACAAAAUCCUAAGAUGGGGGAUCUUAUCCGGAGGCUUCUUCGUCGUAGGAAGUACAAAAUAAAUCUUGCGUUUGUGUCGUUUGACAAUGGUGUAAUCCAUCGCCAGCGGAGUGCAUUUAUAUUGUGUCAUCUUAUCGAACAAGAAAAGGAUCAGUUACAUCACGCGGUACAAGUCCUGACACCACAAGUCGGAAACAUACCAUGAUAUAAUCCGGAAGAUAUCCACGACCCCCCUGUGAUUCAAAGAGCUCAAACAUCGGCUUUUCAAGUUCCUUAUGAUGAAGGUAGUCAAAUAUUUUAUAAAAAAGGCAAAAAAAGACCAAGAGAAACAGAUGGACAAAAACGAGAGAAAGUUAGGGAAUUAUCUGCGAAUGACGGAGGAGGCAAGUGCUCGAUGAAGAAAAUCGUUUAAGAUUUUGGAAAAAAUGCACUGCACGGGAGUACUUUGAGUUCGAGAGACUAAUCUGUAAAAUUAUGGCCUAAACCAAGAUAUUUGCCUUUCUAGAUUCAAUUCGGUCACAAAAAAGGAGAAGGGUCAGUCUGUUGGAAGAUAAGCUGAGAAUGUGUGGGGAUCAAUGGAGAUUGGUCGAUUAUGAGUGAUGUGUUUAGAUAAUCAAUAAAGUCUUAGAAGUGUUCAAGAGAGUUUAAGCAAUGAUAAAGGUAAGUCUUUGUGCAUUUGCUAAACAUCGUCGGAACAGUUGGUACAACGGUUCGUGAACCGCGAGGAUUGUUCACGAGUCAGGGUGCUACGAUUCGUGAACCGAGUUCGCCAACCCUACUAGACUCUGAAACUCAGAUGGAGACAGUUCAUGAACUGAGUUUGCCAACUGCUAACCAAUUUAUCCAACAUACAAUUCAGUUCACCGCGGUUUGUCAACCGGGUUCGUGAACCGUCCACGACUAAACUUAAGGUUUUCAAACUGAGUUAGCCAACCUUCCAUGUAUUUAUGGUUCGCUAACCUACCCUGAGCAGAAAUAUCAGUAAGUUCAUAUUUCUCUCUUAUGAUGUAUUAAAACAUUCC
Long non-coding RNA from Papaver somniferum (opium poppy), 1350 nucleotides. RefSeq lists it as uncharacterized. The record is from RefSeq and is a predicted model, not a curated record. The transcript has 3 exons. NCBI's taxonomy places the organism in Eukaryota, Viridiplantae, Streptophyta, Magnoliopsida, Ranunculales, Papaveraceae.